This 359-nucleotide ribosomal RNA is filed under the name uncultured Streptococcus sp. Its description in RNAcentral is "bacterial SSU rRNA". It matches the Rfam family "Bacterial small subunit ribosomal RNA", at positions 1019 to 1382 of the family's 1533-position model. Lineage: Bacteria; Bacillati; Bacillota; Bacilli; Lactobacillales; Streptococcaceae. The record is from RNAcentral.
UUCGGUACAUCGGUGACAGGUGGUGCAUGGUUGUCGUCAGCUCGUGUCGUGAGAUGUUGGGUUAAGUCCCGCAACGAGCGCAACCCCUAUUGUUAGUUGCCAUCAUUCAGUUGGGCACUCUAGCGAGACUGCCGGUAUAAACCGAGGAAGUGGGGAUGACGUCAAAUCAUCAUGCCCCUUAUGACCUGGGCUACACACGUGCUACAAUGGUUGGUACAACGAGUUGCGAGUCGGUGACGGCGAGCUAAUCUCUUAAAGCCAAUCUCAGUUCGGAUUGUAGGCUGCAACUCGACUACGUGAAGUCGGAAUCGCUAGUAAUUGUGGAUCAGAAUGUCACGGUGAAUACGUUCCCGGGUCUU